RNAcentral lists this ribosomal RNA (505 nucleotides) under uncultured bacterium. Its description in RNAcentral is "partial 16S ribosomal RNA". It matches the Rfam family "Bacterial small subunit ribosomal RNA", at positions 30 to 523 of the family's 1533-position model. The record is from RNAcentral.
AUUGAACGCUGGCGGCAGGCCUAACACAUGCAAGUCGAACGGUAGCACAGAGGAGCUUGCUCCUUGGGUGACGAGUGGCGGACGGGUGAGUAAUGUCUGGGAAACUGCCCGAUGGAGGGGGAUAACUACUGGAAACGGUAGCUAAUACCGCAUAACGUCUUCGGACCAAAGUGGGGGACCUUCGGGCCUCACACCAUCGGAUGUGCCCAGAUGGGAUUAGCUAGUAGGUGGGGUAAUGGCUCACCGAGGCGACGAUCCCUAGCUGGUCUGAGAGGAGGACCAGCCACACUGGAACUGAGACACGGUCCAGACUCCUACGGGAGGCAGCAGUGGGGAAUAUUGCACAAUGGGCGCAAGCCUGAUGCAGCCAUGCCGCGUGUAUGAAGAAGGCCUUCGGGUUGUAAAGUACUUUCAGCGGGGAGGAAGGCGUUAAGGUUAAUAACCUUGGCGAUUGACGUUACCCGCAGAAGAAGCACCGGCUACUCCGUGCCAGCCGCCGCCGUAA